GAUGAACGCUGGCGGCGUGCCUAAUACAUGCAAGUCGAGCGAACAGAUAAGGAGCUUGCUCCUUUGACGUUAGCGGCGGACGGGUGAGUAACACGUGGGUAACCUACCUAUAAGACUGGGAUAACUUCGGGAAACCGGAGCUAAUACCGGAUAAUAUUUCGAACCGCAUGGUUCGAUAGUGAAAGAUGGUUUUGCUAUCACUUAUAGAUGGACCCGCGCCGUAUUAGCUAGUUGGUAAGGUAACGGCUUACCAAGGCGACGAUACGUAGCCGACCUGAGAGGGUGAUCGGCCACACUGGAACUGAGACACGGUCCAGACUCCUACGGGAGGCAGCAGUAGGGAAUCUUCCGCAAUGGGCGAAAGCCUGACGGAGCAACGCCGCGUGAGUGAUGAAGGUCUCCGGAUCGUAAAACUCUGUUAUUAGGGAAGAACAUACGUGUAAGUAACUGUGCACGUCUUGACGGUACCUAAUCAGAAAGCCACGGCUAACUACGUG
Molecule: ribosomal RNA, 497 nt
Filed under: uncultured bacterium
Lineage: Bacteria
Description: partial 16S ribosomal RNA
Rfam family: Bacterial small subunit ribosomal RNA
Source: RNAcentral